Molecule: ribosomal RNA, 253 nt
Filed under: uncultured bacterium
Lineage: Bacteria
Description: partial 16S ribosomal RNA
Rfam family: Bacterial small subunit ribosomal RNA
Source: RNAcentral
UACGAAGGGAGCUAGCGUUGUUCGGAAUCACUGGGCGUAAAGCGCACGUAGGCGGAUGUGUCAGUCAGGGGUGAAAUCCCGGAGCUCAACUUCGGAACUGCCUUUGAUACAGCACGUCUUGAGUCCGAUAGAGGUGGGUGGAAUUCCUAGUGUAGAGGUGAAAUUCGUAGAUAUUAGGAAGAACACCAGUGGCGAAGGCGGCUCACUGGUCCGGUACUGACGCUGAGGUGCGAAAGCGUGGGGAGCAAACAGG